CGGGCGGGCGAGCGGGCGCCGUGCGCUUGUCCCGCGGCCGGGCUGCUAAUAAAGUUGCGGCGCGUGCACAGCGCCGCGACGGCGUGAGGAGAGCGCGCCCGGACGGCGGGGAGGUGUCCCUGUGAAGAGUUGGAUUUCUGAAUCUGGAGGAGCUGUGGAUACUUGCUUUCUGUUUCUCGGCUUUUCUGCCAGCAAUCAUAGCUGCAGCCUACCAGUUCUAAAAUAACGGUAUACCUGGCUUUAGUAUUGUGGAGGCAGUGGAGGUGGGUGUUGUCCCUUGUGAACCUUGGUAGCUACUGUUCAUGUUAGAACCAAAGGGUAAGAGGUUUUUAAAGUGUCAUCCUGGCUAACCUUGAAAGUUAAAGCAGCUGUGUACUUGCAGGUGGCUUGCUUAUAGCUGCCUGAUUCUGAACUCGUUGGUUCCCAAACUUGUUACCUAACCUGGGAUUCCUAUUGGAAAUGUGGGGAAGUUUUGUUUUGUUUUUGAGACAGGGUCUCACCGUGUGGCCCUAGCUGGCAAAGAAAUCACUGUAUAGACCACGCUGGCCUCGAGCUCACAGAGUCCAUUCUGCUUUCUGAGGGCUGGGGUUAACACACCCCGCUUUUUUUUUUUUUUUUUUUUUUUUUUUUAAGAUCCCCCCCCAUGUGUCUGUGUGUGUCUUUGUGCGUGGCCAUAGGUGCCUGUGGAGGAGGCAGAAGAAGCUGUUCUAUCUUCUGGAGCUGGAGUAGUUAGGGUGUUUGUGAGCCACCUGCUGUGUGUGAGGCUCUCCAGCAAGAACAAUACUUGAGCCUCUGAGCCAUCUUUCCUGCAUGAAGAUGCCCAUAAAGGAUUUGGGGGGGAAAUGGUAUUGUAAUGCUGCCUUUCAUAAGAGAAUUCAUACAUGUAGAAAUGUCUGUGUAUUUAAGGAGCUUUCUUAACCCUCGUUUAACAUCUGAAUAUACAUGUAGGUGAGUAAUUCUGAUUGUGAAGAGUAAAGGAAACUUUUGUCACGUGAUGAACCUAUCUCACAUCUGUAAACUACAGUUAAAGGAGUCUGUGAAAGUGAGUUGAAUAGAAAACCUUGAAAUGGAAGCCAGGCCCUCUGCACUGGACGCAAAUACUCCACGUGAGACACUGUAUAGAGCUAAUGCAUGAGUCAGGGGGGUAAGUAACAUAGGCUUCCAUUCCCAACCCCUGGUGAGGGCCGAGUUGAAGACUAGCCUGACAGCACACUCGAGUCUGUGUGAAACCAUCAGCUGGAGUUGAAACUCAGAUGGCAUCAAAAACCCAGUAAGGAUGAUGAAGUGCCAAGGGAGAUGCUGACUUUCUCUUCAAAGGUGAAUAAGAAACCCUGUAAAUGCAAGGGUUAGGGAACAGGCAUUCAGCCACACCCCCACAUCAGCAGGCAUCAAGUCACUCAGGAAAGUGAGGACCCAGCUGUUAAGAGUUGGUCUUGGGAUGUGGCACCCUGGCUUUGUGCUUGGGAAGCUUGUCAUAUAUGGGUGUUUGUGAUGGUGACUUGUGGGGUCAUUGUGGAACAUUGGUUUGCAUGGGGUGAUGUUGUCAACAGAGUUUGCUUUGUCUGUAAGCUUUGGGGGAAAUUUGAGGAAUUGUUUUGCCUGUCUUUUAUUUUGGGUUGAAGAAGUAAGAGAUGUUGGAGCAGAAAGUGAAGGCGCUGCUGUUGGCAGGAAUUUAGAAGUUUGACCAUGAACUCUGUCUGGGGGAGGGCGUUGGAGAGUGGUUCUGUUGGUCAAGAUGAGGGAAAUGGCUCUGUGAGGGAAAAGCUUGAGUAGUCAAUCUAUGUCAGUAUGACUUCAUAUGAUACUCGAGUCUUGGAGCUUAGCAACAUUUUCUUCAUGCAUUUAGUGUGUACGCCAUUGAAGUCCUGGUCUUUGUUUUUCUUCAUGCAUUUAAUGUGUACGCCGUUAAAGUCCUGGUCUUUGUUUAGACUGCGGAUCAGCCUUUCCUAAGUGAGUUGGUGACAAGCCCCAUUCCUCCAGUUGCAAUCACUAUUGACUCUUGUUCUCACACAGCUGCUAUCUCUUCAUCGGGAAUCCUCUGUCUGCUUCUCACCAGUGCUGUCCUCCUCUCACUUAGAUUGCUUCAGCUGUCAGCACACUAUAGCCACAGAUCUCCUUAGGGUCUUUCUUUGCAUUGCCUUAUUAUAAUGGUUCCCCUUGUUUCCUUACAGUUUUGGUUCAUUUGGUACCAGUGAAGCCCAGCCCAGUCAUCUAAUUAUAAACAAUACCUCUCUUCACACUUCCUAUUAACCCAUCUCUGUCCCCCCUCUCCCACAAUCUGAUUUUAUUUUUUCCUUUCAUAGCAGUUUUGGAUUUUUGGUACAGGGUGUUGUUAAGUAGUCCUGGCUGGCCUGGAACUCACUGUGUAGAUCUACUCAACUUUGAACUUGUGGGCAGUCCUGCUGAGGAUAUAAGCCUUCCUCCAUAUUCUGCCAGCUGUUGCUUGUUAAAAGUCCUUUUUGUGUGCGUCCCACCGCUGGGUUGUAAGUUACAAGAAGACAAGGGUUUUACCACCCCCCACCUCCGUUUCUCUGUAUGUCCCUGACUCUGUAGACCAGACUAGCCACAAACUCGAGAUCCACCUGCCUCUUCCUCCUCAGUACUGGGAUUAAAGGUUGUGCCUCCAAACCCCUUUCACUGUUAUGUUCCCAGCUCAUAAUAAUGCCCUAAUUGAAUUAAUGUUUUAUUAUUAGUUUGAAUAAACUAUGUAUGUAGUAAAUGGUAACUAUGAAAUUAGUGGGUUAAAGAAUUUAUUUUUAACUAUUAAUUUCGUUUUUAAUUAUCUUCCUUGGGAUGACAGCCAAAGCUUAAGUCUGAGAUAAGAGAUGGAAUUUAGUAGUUAAAAACUGCAUUUGUAAAAUCAGAGAACAAAGAUAGUCUAUAAGGAAAUGUGGUUUUCAAGAAUUGGGGUGAGGGACAUUGUCUCUGGAGCUUUACUGUCUUGAGGUGUAGCACCUCAUUUGUAAUGAGGAUGCGCUGGAAGUGCUGGGAGCCUGCUCAGAGGCUCUUUCUUGGCCCCUCUUUGUUUCUUGACACCUCACAUGUAUCUAGAAAGAAUUAUAUAGUUUACAGAUGAACUAGUGUCUGCUAUGCUAAAUUAUUCUGAAAGGAGAUUUUGGACCACCUGCAUGAUUCACUUUCACACUACCUUUGCAAGUGACGUAGAAAAGGGGGCCCUCAUUUUCUCCUACAGCCUUGUGUAAGGAACAAACUGCAUUACCUGGCUCAAUCCGGUGAUUCCUUGAAUGUCGAGUGGCGGCUCCUACAUAAGACACCAAUAAAGGUCUAAGGUGAUCCCUGAUGUCUUCAGAAUCAGGUGGCUCCUACAUAAGACAUCAAUAAAGGUUUAAGGUGAUCCCUGAUGUCUUCAGAAUCAGGUCCAUGCACACAAUUUUAUUUUCCUAUUGGUUUAGGAUGCAGUAUUCACAGACAUAUUUUCCAUUCUCUUCUGAUUGAUGUUUCUUAGUCUAGAAAUUUACGUAUCCCUAAAUAAAUUAGAGGGAAUAAUUUUGGAAUAGGAAUGUCUUCUGAUAAUGUAAGUGUUCUUAGUGAGGAUUUUGAGAUGACUAUGUCUGUACUUAGGUUUUAAAAAGUUACAUUUUUCCCCUUCCUCUCAGAAAUACAUGUUAACUAAAUUAUUUAUUUACUUUUUGUGCAAAUGCCCAGCUAUAUCUUGUACAAAUGUCCAGCUAUAUCUCCACCCCAGAAAUACGUUAUCUUUUCCUUUCUGAAAAAAAAGUACAUGUGCGCGCACACACGUGUUUGAGUUGUGUACACAUGUGUCUGCAGGUAUGUGUGUACAUGUAUGUGUAAGUGCACAUUUAUUAUUGGAUGUGUAGUCCUAAAUGAAAACAAAUACUAUUUUUCCUCUGGAAUUUACAUUCUCUUGGGGCAGAUAAAUGUAAGAGAGAUGGUAUACCUUAAGUCUAAUAGGGGAGUUUCUCCUGGAGAAGAGGUGUUUGAUUUCAAAGAGAUGUAUGUGAGAACUUUUGUGAUGUGUCUGUAAUGUAAUGAAUUUGCAGUACAUGAACACAUGGUUUCUCUCUGCCACUUUCUCUUGUGCUGGAGAUCAAACCCACCCCAGCCUUGUGAUGGCUCUUCGUUUUAGAAGGUUUUCACGUGUAGCUGAGGGCCAGUGCAUUUCUCCAAUUUCUGAGUGAUGUUCUUAAUUUAGUUCAGUCACUAGUAGGAGCACUACAGAGGAAUUCCAGGGAGUUUAACACAUCCAGAAGUUUCUGUAUCCUACCAUCCUGGUUUUUGUUUUCCAGCUCUGACAGAAGAGCUGGGCGGUGAUGGCACAUGCCUUUAAUUUAAUCCCAGCACUUGGGAGACAGAGGCAGGCAGAUCUCUGUGAGUUCCAGGACAGCCAGGGAUACACAGAGAAACUCUA
RNAcentral lists this long non-coding RNA (4390 nucleotides) under Cricetulus griseus (Chinese hamster). Its description in RNAcentral is "lncRNA (ENSCGRG00015036043.1)". Lineage: Eukaryota; Metazoa; Chordata; Mammalia; Rodentia; Cricetidae. The record is from RNAcentral.